GAAUAGGAGUGCCUUCACAGCUGAUACAAACUGACCUGUUUGUGCUGUCAGAGAUUAAAUAAAAAGGGGAGAGAAGGAAAAGGGAGCUUGGGGUUUCAUUGUAGUACCUUGUGUGGCUGAAAUGGGCUGCAGUGCUCCCUGUGGAAACUUGGUGGAAGAACAGGGGAAAAUGAGAAGCGGCUAUAACUGUUAACAAGACAGAUCUACUGAGUGCAGAGAGAAGGAUGAUAUGGAGCAACUACAAUUAGGACACCAAAAAGGAAAGGAGCUGCAAAAGCACCAGACAGAUAACCCUUCCCUGCUGUGAAGAACAGGCCUUCAUCCAUAGGUCAGUCUCUCAGCUGCUGUGGAGUAGUGCAUGGAACACCCAUGAGGCUCAGUGAGUGGUCUAACCAUAGCUGAUUUCCAGUUGCUGGUGGUUACCUGACUGGCAGAUCAUCUAAUCUACAUGUGAUCACUUUCUUCAAGAAUUCCUUUAUAUUGCAGAUAUUCAACAUUUUAACAACAUAAUAUUGAAUUUUACAACCUAGCUUCCAGCUAUUGUUAUCUAUUAACCGCAGUCCAGUGCUACACCACAGAAGAGUUAAAGCAAUGGAUUAGACAAAUUUUGGAUAAGUUAAAUUUGCUAUUGGUUCAUCUACUGUUUUUGUGAAGUUACAGAAACACAGCAAAAGUCUUUUAUAGACUUGGAGUAUUUUGAGCUAACUAACCUGAAGACAGGACAACCAAAAAUUAAGGAAGGUUAGGGAAAUUAAACUUAACUGGAAUGGUUUAAUCCUGAAAAGUUUUGACUUCUUUCUGAUAUGUGAGUGAGAUCCUUGAUGCAUUAGAUUCUGCAGCUGCUUUCAAGCUAGGACAGUGACUCCAAAUGGGCAAGGUAAAAUUAAAGCCCAAGAAUCAGAAGCUGUGAUGCUUUGCUACACGGGGGAUGACAGCCAGCUCAGGUGUCAGAUGAAGCACCAAGAGGUCUGGCUCUUCUGCUGAGCCCAUUCCCUUGCAAGGAGAGGACUGGGUUAUGUUGGCACUUUUUGCCAUCAGCCACAAGUGUAUUGGGUGGGAGGAGGAUGAUAUGCUACACAUGGGCAUCAUCUCUGAUUAUGUAUAGAGACAGUACAGAGCUAUUAUUCUGUCAUAAGGAGCAACACAGAUUACGUGAUGACCGAUAAAUGUGUCCAACAGCUGGUGAUAGAGCACGGUCUCUCAGCACCUCCUUACUCAGAGAGCACAGCAGUUGCAAUUCUUCUUACAUGCUAUCAUGCUAAGCAGUUUGCUGCUUGUGGCUUAGCUUUUGUGGGACAGGUAAUACUGGAGUGAAGAAUUAUCCAAAGAGAGAGGUAAGUGAUAAAUCAUUCAAGACAAUCACGAAGCAAAGGUUGUGCAGCUCCAGACUGUGUUGAACAGAGCAUCAGUACAAAUAGGUAUUAGAAGGAUUGAUUUUUCCAGCACAUCCAUAAACCCUGCUGGUGGUAUAUUUGCUUUCAAAUCAGACCUUGCUAACAUCUAGCCAGCUUGCUCCAGUGAAGUGAAGGUAGGUCAUUCAGCAGUGGGUUGUGUGCUCCCCUGUUUUAGUGCUUCACACAGGUUUCUCUGGAAACUCCUAUGCACUUUCAGCACCCCUGUGUUGGGUAAAUUGCUUACAUUCAAGCCUAAAUUACCAUUUUAAAGUGUCUUGUAUGUGUUCAAAUAGAACACACAGGGUUAUACAACAUUAUAGACUCUCUUUUCAAUUGAAUUCGUAUCUCAACCUGUGAGAUACGAAUUUGAUCACUCCCAGAGUUUGGCCCAUGUUAAGCUCUGAGGCUUUGGUGUGACACUAAUUGUAAGAAGAGGAUAAGGCUAAUUACAGCAGAGUAAACUGACCUAGUAAGAGAAACCAGAUCCUUUAAUCCUGUAAACACACAGAUCAGUUAAUUGCUAACAUGGGUGUUCUUGUGGAGGGAGGGGUAGAUGGCUAUGAAGUCUCAAAGACUGUUCCAGUUUCACAGACAAUAACUCUCAGCAGUGAAGCAGCUUGUCCAGGGUCCUAAACCAAGCUGGUGGCUGUAGCCCUGCAUGCCAUCUCAAGGAGAACAUGAGGCACAUGCCUGUGGCUCUUGGCGUUUUACAUGGGUGGUUUUUUUUACAAAAAAACAUAGGUGUUUUGUGAUGAAGGGAGUAAGAGACCCUAGUCCUAGCUGAACAAAAUUGUUUGUGGUGGAGUAGUUUUUCCCAGGAAGAAACAUUAUGUCCAAAACUAUGUUGGACUUCUACUGUUAAAAUCACUGAGUGGGGCUGUAGCUGUCCAUUCCAAGCAGCCUGUGGUCAAUAGCUGCAGAAAAAACCCAGAAAAAAAGAGGAAAAUCACAGGAUGUGGUUCUGGAUAAAUGCAGAGCUGUUCUCCAUGCAACUGGAGAAGGCAGUGCUCAGCAUAAUGGGCUUUUGGAUUUGGGGGACUGUGUGGUCCCAACAUCAGCUUUAGCCUGCAGAAAUGUUGCACAGCAAAGGUGGACAGUCAGUGGUGUGGCCUUCUAAGAAAAAAGAAAGCGAAGGAAAAUGUGUUUUGAUUAUCAGAGAGAAGGCGAAAGACUGCCUUUAAAAACAUUUUAGGUUCAAGCCUCUUGCUUAUAGCAGAAGGCAAGAAUUUGUAGUUCUCUCAGAACACACAAAAAUCAGAAGUCGAUGAGAAUUUCUGUCUGCAGUAUUGAGCUGAAAAAGGCUAUUGGCCAGAUAACUAUAGUCUUCCCCCUGAACUUAUACAUUGUGUUUAACU
Passer domesticus (house sparrow) is the source of this 2749-nucleotide long non-coding RNA. RefSeq lists it as uncharacterized. The record is from RefSeq and is a predicted model, not a curated record. Lineage: Eukaryota; Metazoa; Chordata; Aves; Passeriformes; Passeridae. The transcript is spliced from 3 exons.